RNAcentral lists this long non-coding RNA (1605 nucleotides) under Bemisia tabaci. RNAcentral's name for it is "lncRNA ENSASIAIIG007356". Lineage: Eukaryota; Metazoa; Arthropoda; Insecta; Hemiptera; Aleyrodidae. The record is from RNAcentral.
ACACCAGCGUAAAUUGCGAUUUUAAUUAUGUGGAAAAUGAAACAAAAAGUUCACAAGUUUUUUUUUAAAUAAUAUUCGUAUUUUGUGUUAACUAAUUCGGCCACAUCGAAAUUCUCAUAUGGGGUUUAUUCUCCACACGGCACAGUAGGUGGGUGUUUGUCAUGGUCUGUGGAAUAGGCUUUAUUAGUUUGCUCACCGCGCAUUACGUCGAUCGAGCAUGGGCAUAAUGGCAAAUCGAGGAGAGCUCUAUCAUACCGUGCAGAAACCACACAUUUACCUACUUGCUAUCGUGGAAGUUACGCGUUUUUUGUUUAGAAGACAGACCGUCGAGCUAAAAAAUACCGCUAUCAGUUUGUAAGUGUGCGUUUAAGCCUUGCAAACAUAUGCGUGGCAGCCCAUGGCUUCCAUCAUGCUCGAUUAGUCUAAUCGAGUGCCUUUGCAAGCUGGAGGAUGCUCCAUUUAAGGGGAUGUGUUCUCAUACUGUCCGCGGCCUACCUAGUUCGUGAGAUACAAUGCGCGACCCAGCUUCAAACUCAGGUGACGGUGCCGUCGGCGCAGGAGGUGGGUCAGGCGGUGAACAAUGCCGGCGCCUGGGCCGGGAACCAGGUAAACAAUGCAGGGCAGGUGGCCGGCAAUGUGGUCAACGGCGCAGGGCAAGUGGCCGGCAAUGUGGUCAACGGCGCAGGCAAUCUGGCCGGGCAGGCGGUCAGCGGCGCAGGCAACUUGGCCGGGCAGGCGGUCAACGGGGUCGGCCAUGCGGCCGGCACGGUAGUCAACGGAGCUGGUCAAGUGCUUAGGCGCGCCGGACAGCUGGGCAAGCAGGCCGUGAGUGGCCUCGGCAACGCCGCCCAGAACGUAGGCAACUUCGCCGGCAAUGUCGUAAAUGGCAUCGGGAAUGGGUUGACGUACGCGGUGACGGCAGGCGGACGAACGAUCCAGGCGGCUGGGCAAGCCAUCACGAACGUGGCCAUGUUCCCGAUAAACGUUGCCCGAGGCACUUACAGCGACCUCCAGAUGAGGAUGAUGAAAAUGCAGCUCCAGAUGGCUGCUUACAAGCAAGCUGUGGCCAACAGCUACAACUACUCCUCACCCCAGUACGCCUACCAAUCGGCCAUGUUCGACCAGAUCGCAAUCGUCGACCUCACACCCUACGUCAAUUCGCUGAACGCAGACUUGACGCCGUACGGGCAGAUGGUACGGAUCACCAGGACGAAUGGGGUGCCGGCCUACAUCUUUCCGACUAUCCUCGACGCGAAUGCUGCGAGCCACUCGCUUCCCAACGGCUUCAGCCUCCAGCAGAACCAAAUCGUCAACGCACGUGGCCAGGUUGUCGGGGGCGUCCCUCAGUAUCAGCCCUCCUACAACGGCAAAGUCCUCAAUGAUGCCGCGGGAAAUCAGUACGUGCUUGGACCAGACAUCUACCUGGACCAACAAGGUAACCUGCUGUAUAGGCGGAAUAACCAGCCGUGGGCGAUCGCCGGCCAAUACGUAAUCGAUUUGGGAGGUAACGUCUACGACUCUGGGGGCAAUAUCAUCGGGAACUUGUGCCGCUGUUUUGGGAUCACGGGGAGUUUCGGGCCCAACGGUGCCAUCGUUUUACAAUAA